GGUUAAGCGACUAAGCGUACACGGUGGAUGCCCUGGCAGUCAGAGGCGAUGAAGGACGUGCUAAUCUGCGAUAAGCGUCGGUAAGGUGAUAUGAACCGUUAUAACCGGCGAUUUCCGAAUGGGGAAACCCAGUGUGAUUCGUCACACUAUCAUUAACUGAAUCCAUAGGUUAAUGAGGCGAACCGGGGGAACUGAAACAUCUAAGUACCCCGAGGAAAAGAAAUCAACCGAGAUUCCCCCAGUAGCGGCGAGCGAACGGGGAGCAGCCCAGAGCCUGAAUCAGUGUGUGUGUUAGUGGAAGCGUCUGGAAAGGCGCGCGAUACAGGGUGACAACAAAAAUGCACAUACUGUGAGCUCGAUGAGUAGGGCGGGACACGUGGUAUCCUGUCUGAAUAUGGGGGGACCAUCCUCCAAGGCUAAAUACUCCUGACUGACCGAUAGUGAACCAGUACCGUGAGGGAAAGGCGAAAAGAACCCCGGCGAGGGGAGUGAAAAAGAACCUGAAACCGUGUACGUACAAGCAGUGGGAGCACGCUUAGGCGUGUGACUGCGUACCUUUUGUAUAAUGGGUCAGCGACUUAUAUUCUGUAGCAAGGUUAACCGAAUAGGGGAGCCGAAGGGAAACCGAGUCUUAACUGGGCGUUAAGUUGCAGGGUAUAGACCCGAAACCCGGUGAUCUAGCCAUGGGCAGGUUGAAGGUUGGGUAACACUAACUGGAGGACCGAACCGACUAAUGUUGAAAAAUUAGCGGAUGACUUGUGGCUGGGGGUGAAAGGCCAAUCAAACCGGGAGAUAGCUGGUUCUCCCCGAAAGCUAUUUAGGUAGCGCCUCGUGAAUUCAUCUCCGGGGGUAGAGCACUGUUUCGGCAAGGGGGUCAUCCCGACUUACCAACCCGAUGCAAACUACGAAUACCGGAGAAUGUUAUCACGGGAGACACACGGCGGGUGCUAACGUCCGUCGUGAAGAGGGAAACAACCCAGACCGCCAGCUAAGGUCCCAAAGUCAUGGUUAAGUGGGAAACGAUGUGGGAAGGCCCAGACAGCCAGGAUGUUGGCUUAGAAGCAGCCAUCAUUUAAAGAAAGCGUAAUAGCUCACUGGUCGAGUCGGCCUGCGCGGAAGAUGUAACGGGGCUAAACCAUGCACCGAAGCUGCGGCAGCGACGCUGAUGCGUUGUUGGGUAGGGGAGCGUUCUGUAAGCCUGCGAAGGUGUGCUGUGAGGCAUGCUGGAGGUAUCAGAAGUGCGAAUGCUGACAUAAGUAACGAUAAAGCGGGUGAAAAGCCCGCUCGCCGGAAGACCAAGGGUUCCUGUCCAACGUUAAUCGGGGCAGGGUGAGUCGGCCCCUAAGGCGAGGCCGAAAGGCGUAGUCGAUGGGAAACAGGUUAAUAUUCCUGUACUUGGUGUUACUGCGAAGGGGACGGAGAAGGCUAUGUUGGCCGGGCGACGGUUGUCCCGGUUUAAGCGUGUAGGCUGGUUUUCCAGGCAAAUCCGGAAAAUCAAGGCUGAGGCGUGAUGACGAGGCACUACGGUGCUGAAGCAACAAAUGCCCUGCUUCCAGGAAAAGCCUCUAAGCAUCAGGUAACAUCAAAUCGUACCCCAAACCGACACAGGUGGUCAGGUAGAGAAUACCAAGGCGCUUGAGAGAACUCGGGUGAAGGAACUAGGCAAAAUGGUGCCGUAACUUCGGGAGAAGGCACGCUGAUAUGUAGGUGAAGUGAUUUACUCAUGGAGCUGAAAUCAGUCGAAGAUACCAGCUGGCUGCAACUGUUUAUUAAAAACACAGCACUGUGCAAACACGAAAGUGGACGUAUACGGUGUGACGCCUGCCCGGUGCCGGAAGGUUAAUUGAUGGGGUUAGCGCAAGCGAAGCUCUUGAUCGAAGCCCCGGUAAACGGCGGCCGUAACUAUAACGGUCCUAAGGUAGCGAAAUUCCUUGUCGGGUAAGUUCCGACCUGCACGAAUGGCGUAAUGAUGGCCAGGCUGUCUCCACCCGAGACUCAGUGAAAUUGAACUCGCUGUGAAGAUGCAGUGUACCCGCGGCAAGACGGAAAGACCCCGUGAACCUUUACUAUAGCUUGACACUGAACAUUGAGCCUUGAUGUGUAGGAUAGGUGGGAGGCUUUGAAGUGUGGACGCCAGUCUGCAUGGAGCCGACCUUGAAAUACCACCCUUUAAUGUUUGAUGUUCUAACGUGGACCCGUAAUCCGGGUUGCGGACAGUGUCUGGUGGGUAGUUUGACUGGGGCGGUCUCCUCCUAAAGAGUAACGGAGGAGCACGAAGGUUGGCUAAUCCUGGUCGGACAUCAGGAGGUUAGUGCAAUGGCAUAAGCCAGCUUGACUGCGAGCGUGACGGCGCGAGCAGGUGCGAAAGCAGGUCAUAGUGAUCCGGUGGUUCUGAAUGGAAGGGCCAUCGCUCAACGGAUAAAAGGUACUCCGGGGAUAACAGGCUGAUACCGCCCAAGAGUUCAUAUCGACGGCGGUGUUUGGCACCUCGAUGUCGGCUCAUCACAUCCUGGGGCUGAAGUAGGUCCCAAGGGUAUGGCUGUUCGCCAUUUAAAGUGGUACGCGAGCUGGGUUUAGAACGUCGUGAGACAGUUCGGUCCCUAUCUGCCGUGGGCGCUGGAGAACUGAGGGGGGCUGCUCCUAGUACGAGAGGACCGGAGUGGACGCAUCACUGGUGUUCGGGUUGUCAUGCCAAUGGCACUGCCCGGUAGCUAAAUGCGGAAGAGAUAAGUGCUGAAAGCAUCUAAGCACGAAACUUGCCCCGAGAUGAGUUCUCCCUGACUCCUUGAGAGUCCUGAAGGAACGUUGAAGACGACGACGUUGAUAGGCCGGGUGUGUAAGCGCAGCGAUGCGUUGAGCUAACCGGUACUAAUGAACCGUGAGGCUUAACCUU
Molecule: ribosomal RNA, 2893 nt
Filed under: Escherichia coli
Lineage: Bacteria; Pseudomonadati; Pseudomonadota; Gammaproteobacteria; Enterobacterales; Enterobacteriaceae
Description: 23S ribosomal RNA
Rfam family: Bacterial large subunit ribosomal RNA
Source: RNAcentral